This 496-nucleotide ribosomal RNA is filed under the name uncultured bacterium. RNAcentral describes it as "partial 16S ribosomal RNA". It matches the Rfam family "Bacterial small subunit ribosomal RNA", at positions 28 to 507 of the family's 1533-position model. The record is from RNAcentral.
GAUGAACGCUGGCGGCGUGCCUAAUACAUGCAAGUCGAACGCAUAGCGAAAGGUGCUUGCACCUUUCAAGUGAGUGGCGAACGGGUGAGUAACACGUGGACAACCUGCCUCAAGGCUGGGGAUAACAUUUGGAAACAGAUGCUAAUACCGAAUAAAACUUAGUGUCGCAUGACACAAAGUUAAAAGGCGCUUCGGCGUCACCUAGAGAUGGAUCCGCGGUGCAUUAGUUAGUUGGUGGGGUAAAGGCCUACCAAGACAAUGAUGCAUAGCCGAGUUGAGAGACUGAUGGCCACAUUGGGACUGAGACACGGCCCAAACUCCUACGGGAGGCUGCAGUAGGGAAUCUUCCACAAUGGGCGAAAGCCUGAUGGAGCAACGCCGCGUGUGUGAUGAAGGCUUUCGGGUCGUAAAGCACUGUUGUAUGGGAAGAACAGCUAGAAUAGGAAAUGAUUUUAGUUUGACGGUACCAUACCAGAAAGGGACGGCUAAAUACGUG